GGUUCCUGUUGACUUUUGCACUUUGUCCCAGGGGAAUGUACUUAAUACUGUUUCUUUAAAAAAAAAGAAAAAAUGUUGGGAGGAAUGAGCUUAAAUUUUUAGGAAAGCACUGCUUAAUUUCCCAGGGCGCUGCUGGGCGGCCACCACCACAGAGGGACUCCUCAUCUUCUCCCUGGACACCCGCGUGCUCUUUGACCCGUUUGAGCUGGACACCAGCAUCACCCCCGGGAGGGUGCGCGAGGCACUGCGCCAGCAGGACUUCACCAGGGCCAUCCUCAUGGCCCUUAGGCUCAACGAGAGCAAACUGGUGCAGGAGGCCCUGGAGGCAGUGCCCAGCGGCGAGAUUGAAGUGGUCACCUCCUCCCUUCCUGAACUGUAUGUGGAGAAAGUGCUGGAGUUCUUAGCUUCCUCCUUUGAAGUGUCUCGCCACCUGGAAUUCUACCUCCUGUGGACUCACAGACUGCUCAUGUUGCAUGGACAGAAGCUGAAGUCCAGAGCCGGGACGCUGCUGCCUGUCAUUCAGUUCCUCCAGAAGAGUAUCCAGCGGCACCUGGACGACCUGUCGAAACUGUACGUGCAGGUGCAGGGCCUGGGG
This 595-nucleotide small RNA is filed under the name Pongo abelii (Sumatran orangutan). RNAcentral's name for it is "retained intron". The record is from RNAcentral. Lineage: Eukaryota; Metazoa; Chordata; Mammalia; Primates; Hominidae.